UUACUGACUUAGAAGGAAUUGAAGUUAAGAGAUUCUUGGUGUGGCUAAAUGUGAAUGAGAUCCUUGAAGUUAAGCUUCAUUUACAAGAAGCUUGAUAUCAAACGGUUUGAAACUCUUCAUUCUUGUUUGGCCUUGUGUGGAGGAACAUCUCUGAGACAGGUACUUCCGUCUAGAUUUAAUGACUCUGUUCUCGAUAAUUGGAAGAAAGAGAAGAGUAAAACUACUGUAAAAGAAUCAACUUUGGACCCUGAAUUUAAUCUGUAUAGAGAAAAAGGUAGCUUGAAAAACGCCAAACGUGAAAUUGGAACUAAGAAGCGUGUGGAUGACAAGGUAAAUUACCAAUGUUGUGUGUUUUCGCCUGAUGGAACAGUAGAAAUUGGGUAUAAUGGGUCAAAGCGAUUAGAUAGUAGGAAAUAUUCUACUUCCCGCAGUACAUUAGCAUCAUUACACGAGCGAUUGGGAGAUGCCGACACGCUUGUUGGGGAGUUUGAUGAAGCUAUAGAUUUUAAGUGGAACUGAUGCAAUGGUGAAGCGGGAGGGAGGGAGGAGAGCUUAUAGGUUUGAUCAUGAGGGUUUUAAUUCAGGUGACAUAGUUUGGGGACAUUGUCCUGCUUGGCCGGCAAUUGUACUUGAUUCAGAAACACAAGCUCCUCAAUUAUCGUGUUGCUGGAACAGUAUGUGUCAUGUUCUUUGGCUACUCUGGAAAUGGCACGCAAAGGGAUUAUGCAUGGAUUAGACGCUGGGUGCUAUUUCCAUUUAUGGAACAUGUAGACAGGUUAUAGGGGCAGACUGACUUGAACGACAGCACGCCUGCUGAUCUUCGCUCUGCCACAGAAGAGGUGUUUCUUGCUGAAAAUGGUGUUGUUGAGAUGUUGAUGAUUGAAAUAAAUGCAGCAGCUGGUAAUCUAGACCAUCUCCGGUCUCUUCCCCGAGGAGUAUUCGAGGCCAGUGAUUCAAAUCAGGACCAAGAGUGUAACUCUCCAAGCCAGGCACGUUUCUGUUGAGUAAAUUGUUCUGUAUUGUUCCCAUAGCAAGAUCAUGAUAAAUUGUUUUCUCCAGAUUCUAAUUUUUAUUCAUGGACUCUUGGUUUACUCAUUGUUUCUUGCCUUGUCUCUCUGACUGGAUUUGACAGAGCUACAAUUCUACUGCUCAAACUUCUUUGCCACAAAAGAUAAAUAAGGAAUAGGAGAAUUUGUUA
This is an RNA transcript of Solanum stenotomum, 1198 nucleotides long. RefSeq lists it as uncharacterized. The record is from RefSeq and is a predicted model, not a curated record. Lineage: Eukaryota; Viridiplantae; Streptophyta; Magnoliopsida; Solanales; Solanaceae. The transcript is spliced from 4 exons.